CCGUUUACUGAUAGUAGAACUUCUCAGUUGUAUUAAUUCAGACUGAUGUUUAAAUUUUCACCAUUUUGUCCUACAUAUUAGAAUACUAAGAACAUAUAUUUACAGAAGAUCCUGCCAAUACAGAGUUACAGAAUAAAUUCUUUGUCCAAUGACAACGUAAGAGUCACGACCAGUAAUCACAAACAACACUAUCUCGACCGCCGGGCAUGUGUGUGCGGCAAGGGGAUGCAGAUACUCCGAUGAUAGAUGUGUUGAGACAACAAGCUCACGCAGGAGGCCUUGAACUGCUUGCCUGUUGCCAUUGAUGGCUAUGGAUCAUGCAAAAUCCUGACCAAAAGAUCACAUUAUUUUCACGAAACUAAUCUCUUGAACUUGCUCCACGACAAUCUUUGAACAUCCUACAAGAACAGUCAUUAUUUUAAAGUUCACAUGAAUACCUACAAGCCAUGAUCACAAACAUUCCCAAAACAUUCUUUUAAAGAGUUAUGCAGCAAUAAUUAGAACCAGAAAAAUAGGGUGAAACUAUGGCAUCUACACUACACAUCAUCUAGACUGUAGCAACAACUGUUUUGCAUGAUCAUUGGCAUUUGGAGUAGCAUACAACAACUAGACGGAGAAGGGAGAAAGAGUUGGACCGGUGUGAACCCCAUACCUGGACAGGGACCGGAGGAAGUAAUGCAUGGGGCGGCGGGGGCUGUCUGUAGUCCAACCUCCCCCGUGCCGCAGUUCAGAGAGAAACAAAUUAGUAAGAGAAAAGAGUAGUAGAGAGGAAAGAGAUAUGGCAGAUGCAUGGACAGCUGCUGUUCUUUUUUGUUGAAGCACAGAUGAAGAAACUCCCAUAGGUCGCAGCUGAAGAAUAACAGUGGCUUCAUAACAAGUUUAACAACACAACAUUUUAGCAGCAAGUACGUGCAGGUAGAGGUCAUCCCAUGGAUUGGAUGGAAACUCGAUGCAUGAGCUGACCAUAAACCAAGGAAAGAGCUAAAACUUUUUAAUAAAUCAUAUCUUUAAAUAUACUUGUGCGAAUCUCCCUUUCCAGAACCAACCACCUCAGACAAAUACAUGCACAAGCUUACCUUCAUUUUAACCAUGGUAUUUUUCAGCAAAAAAAUGGUGUGCAUUAGCUCC
This 1128-nucleotide long non-coding RNA is filed under the name Triticum aestivum (bread wheat). RNAcentral's name for it is "long non-coding RNA (TAES_LNC010383)". The record is from RNAcentral. Lineage: Eukaryota; Viridiplantae; Streptophyta; Magnoliopsida; Poales; Poaceae.